Paramarasmius palmivorus is the source of this 89-nucleotide non-coding RNA. The record is from the annotation of a GenBank genome assembly. Lineage: Eukaryota; Fungi; Basidiomycota; Agaricomycetes; Agaricales; Marasmiaceae.
GGGCACAUGGUGUAGUUGGUUAUCACAUCCGCUUAGCAUCACAGGGAGGCUUCUGCGGGGGGUGCUGGGUUCAAUUCCCAGUGUGUCCA